This 81-nucleotide non-coding RNA is filed under the name Corethron hystrix. The record is from RNAcentral. Lineage: Eukaryota; Bacillariophyta; Corethrophyceae; Corethrales; Corethraceae.
CAGGCAAAAAGAAAAAGAGAAAAAAAAGAUAAAAAUGAGAAAAUGAGUAAGCUCUAAUAGGGUCAACAACUUAGAUGUUAC